UACGAAGGGGGCUAGCGUUGCUCGGAAUCACUGGGCGUAAAGCGCACGUAGGCGGAUCGCUAAGUCAGGGGUGAAAUCCUGGAGCUCAACUCCAGAACUGCCCUUGAUACUGGCGAUCUCGAGUCCGGGAGAGGUGAGUGGAACUGCGAGUGUAGAGGUGAAAUUCGUAGAUAUUCGCAAGAACACCAGUGGCGAAGGCGGCUCACUGGCCCGGUACUGACGCUGAGGUGCGAAAGCGUGGGGAGCAAACAGG
Molecule: ribosomal RNA, 253 nt
Filed under: uncultured bacterium
Lineage: Bacteria
Description: partial 16S ribosomal RNA
Rfam family: Bacterial small subunit ribosomal RNA
Source: RNAcentral